Molecule: long non-coding RNA, 2032 nt
Organism: Beta vulgaris subsp. vulgaris (sugar beet)
Lineage: Eukaryota; Viridiplantae; Streptophyta; Magnoliopsida; Caryophyllales; Amaranthaceae
Exons: 10
Source: RefSeq, a predicted model, not a curated record
UAAAAGUGGCAAAUUCUACCACUAUUCAAAUCAAUAGUGUUAUGAGUCACAAAAGCAUUAAAAACACUGUUCAUAAGAAUGGGAAAAUCUGAGCCCUCCAUCUCUUCCCUCCAUCAUCUUACUCGCCUCUUGCUAUUUCUCUCUCCUCUUUCUAUGGUUUUUUUUUUGCCAUAUCUAUGGAGUUUUCUGUUUCGAGGUUCUUCUUCUCUCCUUCUGUCUUCUUUAUUCUUCAAUUCACCCUUUUAUUCGACCUAAUUUGCUUCAAUCGUUUCAUUACCGAAUUUCUGACUCUAUCUUUCUUUAUUUCGGAAUUUCAGUCACUCUUAUAAACCCUAAUUGCUCUUAUUAUCAUACUUUGUCUUUAAUCAAUUGCAUUUCACAAGACUUGAUUUGUUUAGACACAAUAACUAAUUGAAGAAUAGAGCGAGAAUCAGAGCAAAUUAGGGUAAUUAGGGUUUAUAAGAGAAUGAAUUACAGAGGUCUGAUUCUCGCUCUAUUCUUCAAUCUGAUUUUUAGCACUACCGGAGAUAUUCUACGAUCAAUCUGAAGUUCGAAAGUACAUUUCUUCCCCUUUUUAAUUUCAAUUAUGAAUAAUAUCUUUAAUUUUUGCUUUAAAUUUGAUUCUAAAUCCUUAGGGUUUCACUAGACUUCUGGAUUGUGUCAGCAAUUUAUAGAUUUAUUAGGCAAAAUGGUGGCAAUUGAGGAACCGAUUGUUGAACCGAUGAACCAACUAGCAAGAGGUUGUUUUUGCUCCGGCAAAAGAAAUUCACGGCGCUGAUGAGGCCAGAGAUAAAGCGAAGAAAUCUAAGGUGAAGAAGUGGAAUUCUACUCAUCCUCCUUACUUUGAGUUAUUAUUGCAGUUUGCGAGAGAAAAUUUCAAGUUAUCUGCAAUUCGCUUCAACCAUUCAAGCAUCAACACGCAACAGAGGAAGUAAGGAACCCUGAUAAAUCAAUAAUCAUCUGAUCCUGUUGGUUAAAUUUUUUGGAGACUGAAAAUAGAAUAUGGAGGAACUCUUGAAAUUUAUGGCACUGGUGAAAAGCAAAUAUUCAAGAAUUAUGUUUCAAUUUUUUGUAUCCUUGUUAAGCAAUGCCAUGAAUUCACACACCGAGUAAAGUCAGUAUCAAUGGCUAAAUUUACACCAUAAGAGAUUGCUUCUCUUCAUGUUGGCGGAAAUGAGCGUGCAAAGGAAAUACACUUUAAAGAUUAGGAUUCUCAAAGGCAAGCUGCUCACGAUAGCAGGGUUUCAUGAUGAAUUUGAUCUGAAAAUCGUGCAUUUUGUGAUCAAAUCAAGGUAGAAAGAUGGACUGGUGGGGAGGAAAAGUGUCGCUUGGAUUGGAUUUUUCAGGCGCAGUGAAUAAGCUUCAAGAUAGUGUUAAGAGGCUAAGAGCAUUGAGAAGAAUUUUGAUAGUGCUCUUGGUUUAGAAGAUAAGCCUCAAUGAAGAAAAUGCGUGAAUAUCCACUCAGUGUCCCCACGAAGGUCGAGGUUACCGGCUCGAUUAUCCGCCGGCCCAACCCGGUUUUGGCCUCCCUGAGUUUUUCUGGAUACUCGGUUCACAUUCUUGACAUCACUGACCGCAUCAUUUACUGAUAGUACUAAAUUGUCGAAGGAAAAGGAGAUUACUACACGAGAUUAUGCCGUUUUUGAUGAAGGAAGUGAUAAUAUUAACCCUAAUUAUAUAAUUUUCCUGGAGUUGCACAUGUUGAGUUUCCUCUUGGUAGUGGAAAGCUAGAUCUUUCAACUAAAUUGGAAGAGAAAGCAAGCAGUUGUUAUUCUAGGACUUUCGACCUCACUCAAAACUUUAAACUGAUAUUUCCUCUAUUUAAAAUUCUACUCCCAUGAAUCACUUACACUCUUCUGAGUUCUUUCUCUCUUUUUUUGCUAGAAUGGGGUUCAAUUUACAACUGUAUGGUAUGAAGUCGAUGCUUCUAUGUUUAGUGAUAGCCACAAACUAAUUUUUGUAAGAGGUUACUAUGAUCAAAAUAGUUGUAUAAAUCUUUCAACGAAUGUAUAUUCAUGAACUUUCGUCUGUC